Molecule: regulatory RNA element, 96 nt
Rfam family: Rhodo-rpoB RNA
Source: Rfam
AGGUCGGGAGCGUGCCAUUGGGCGGGCGCGCAUGAAUGGACCUCGCCCGUCUUGAGGUUUCAGUGCGCCUCCGCCGGUGACCCGACGGCGCGUGGG